Molecule: long non-coding RNA, 875 nt
Filed under: Callithrix jacchus (white-tufted-ear marmoset)
Lineage: Eukaryota; Metazoa; Chordata; Mammalia; Primates; Cebidae
Description: lncRNA (ENSCJAG00000071591.1)
Source: RNAcentral
CCAGUGACUGACUUGGUAAACCUUUGCAGAAGACAGGCAAGGGACAGAAGAAUAAGGAGCUGUACUUUGGACCUGUGAAGUUAUUUUGACUAUCAGACAUCUAAAUAGAUGUUAACCAGAUGAAACUGGAGCUUGCAAGUUAGCAAUAUGUAUGUGAAAGGGGAAAGCAGGGCAAUGGUAUAUAAAGCCACAGCACUGGCUAAUAUCAUAUAGCAAGUGUAUAGAGAUGAGGUCUGCAGCAUGAGCCUGGGGUAGCAGCACUUAAAUGAGCAAAUGAAUAAAAGGGCAGGAGGAAGUACCAAGACAGUACGGUAUCCUAGAAGCAACACGUAGAAAAAGAAAUUCAAGAAGUAUGAAAUGGCCAGGCAGGGAGGCUCAUGCCUGUAAUCCCAGCACUUUGGGAGACUGAGGCAGGAGGAUUGCUUGAGCCCAGGAGUUCGAGACCAGCUUGGGCAACAAAAUUACGUUGUACUCUCCAGCAUGAUUUUCUGCAUUCUUCUUUGGAUGAUAAUUGUUUGAGGACUUUCUCAUGUGAAAAGGAGAUUUAGCAUAGCAGGCCUGAGGCUGCUGUCCUAAAAACAACGUUCAUGGAAGGAAGAUGGAAAACCUGGCUUUCGGGGAGGGUUCUUACCAUUCCCAGAACUGACGUCCUACCUGUUCCUGGAUGCCUGGGUCAACUGCCUCAUUAUCAGUGGAAAGCAGAGUGUGGGUGGGAAAGAAGAGCUCUGAAAUCACUCGGACCUGACCCUGACCCCUGCUGCACUCCUGCUCUGUGCCUGAGAUGGUUCUAUUUCCUGUUAUCCUCUCAACACGUCUGCAGAGAAUGGACUGUUAUUCCUAUCUUACACAGGUGGAACUUGGGGCUCAGAAAAUGA